This 253-nucleotide ribosomal RNA is filed under the name uncultured bacterium. RNAcentral's name for it is "partial 16S ribosomal RNA". It matches the Rfam family "Bacterial small subunit ribosomal RNA", at positions 524 to 776 of the family's 1533-position model. The record is from RNAcentral.
UACGGAGGGUGCAAGCGUUAUCCGGAUUCACUGGGUUUAAAGGGUGUGUAGGCGGGGAUUUAAGUCAGUGGUGAAAUCUCCAGGCUCAACCUGGAAACUGCCAUUGAUACUAUUUAUCUUGAAUAUUGUUGAGGUAGGCGGAAUAUGUCAUGUAGCGGUGAAAUGCUUAGAUAUGACAUAGAACACCGAUUGCGAAGGCAGCUUGCUAAACAAUUAUUGACGCUGAGGCACGAAGGCGUGGGGAUCAAACAGG